Molecule: ribosomal RNA, 393 nt
Filed under: uncultured bacterium
Lineage: Bacteria
Description: partial 16S ribosomal RNA
Rfam family: Bacterial small subunit ribosomal RNA
Source: RNAcentral
CUACGGAGGAUCCAAGCGUUAUCCGGAUUUAUUGGGUUUAAAGGGUGCGUAGGCGGGAGAUUAAGUCGGUGGUGAAAUUUUGCAGCUCAACUGUAAAAGUGCCAUUGAUACUGGUUUCCUUGAGUGUGGAUGAAGUAGGCGGAAUUUGUGGUGUAGCGGUGAAAUGCAUAGAUAUCACGAGGAACUCCGAUUGCGCAGGCAGCUUACUAAACCAUAACUGACGCUCAGGCACGAAGGCGUGGGGAUCAAACAGGAUUAGAUACCCUGGUAGUCCACGCAGUAAACUAUGAUUACUCGCUGUUUGCGAUACACAGCAAGCGGCUUAGCGAAAGCGUUAAGUAAUCCACCUGGGGAGUACGUUCGCAAGAAUGAAACUCAAAUGAAUUGACGGGG